Molecule: ribosomal RNA, 522 nt
Filed under: uncultured bacterium
Lineage: Bacteria
Description: bacterial SSU rRNA
Rfam family: Bacterial small subunit ribosomal RNA
Source: RNAcentral
AGAGUUUGAUCAUGGCUCAGGAUGAACGCUAGCUACAGGCUUAACACAUGCAAGUCGAGGGGCAGCAUGAAGUUUGCUUGCAAACUUUGAUGGCGACCGGCGCACGGGUGAGUAACGCGUAUCCAACCUUCCCCUUAGUAGGGCAUAGCCCGGCGAAAGUCGGAUUAAUACCCUAUGUUCUUCGUAGAGGACAUCUGAAAUGAAGCAAAGGUUUACCGCUAAGGGAUGGGGAUGCGUCUGAUUAGGGUAGUAGGCGGGGUAACGGCCCACCUAGCCUGCGAUCAGUAGGGGUUCUGAGAGGAAGGUCCCCCACAUUGGAACUGAGACACGGUCCAAACUCCUACGGGAGGCAGCAGUGAGGAAUAUUAGUCAAUGGGCGCGAGCCUGAACCAGCCAAGUAGCGUGCAGGAUGACGGCCCUAUGGGUUGUAAACUGCUUUUAUCAGGGGAUAAAGUGAGGGACGUGUCCCUUUUUGUAGGUACCUGAUGAAUAAGGACCGGCUAAUUCCGUGCCAGCCGCAGC